This 335-nucleotide unclassified non-coding RNA is filed under the name soil metagenome. Its description in RNAcentral is "partial contains 5.8S ribosomal RNA, internal transcribed spacer 2, and large subunit ribosomal RNA". The stretch from base 1 to 120 matches the Rfam family "5.8S ribosomal RNA", at positions 35 to 154 of the family's 154-position model. The record is from RNAcentral.
GAUGAAGAACGUAGCGAAAUGCGAUAAGUAGUGUGAAUUGCAGAAUUCAGUGAAUCAUCGAAUCUUUGAACGCACAUUGCGCCCCAUGGUAUUCCGUGGGGCAUGCCUGUUCGAGCGUCAUUUACCCCCUCAAGCUCCGCUUGGUGUUGGGCGUCUGUCCCGCUUCGCGCGCGGACUCGCCCCAAAGGUAUUGGCAGCGGUCGUGCCAGCUUCUCGCGCAGCACAUUGCGCUUCUCGAGGCACCGGUGGGCCCGCGUCCAUCAAGCUCACCCCCCCAGUUUGACCUCGGAUCAGGUAGGGAUACCCGCUGAACUUAAGCAUAUCAAUAAGGAGGA